RNAcentral lists this ribosomal RNA (885 nucleotides) under uncultured bacterium. RNAcentral describes it as "bacterial SSU rRNA". It matches the Rfam family "Bacterial small subunit ribosomal RNA", at positions 502 to 1388 of the family's 1533-position model. The record is from RNAcentral.
UNCGUGCCAGCAGCCGCGGUAAUACGUAGNUCCCGAGCGUUGUCCGGAUUUAUUGGGCGUAAAGGGAGCGCAGGCGNUCAGGAAAGUCUGGAGUAAAAGGCUAUGGNUCAACCAUAGUGUGCUCUGGAAACUNUCUGACUUGAGUGCAGAAGGGGAGAGUGGAAUUCCAUGUGUAGCGGUGAAAUGCGUAGAUAUAUGGAGGAACACCAGUGGCGAAAGCGGCUCUCUGGUCUGUCACUGACGCUGAGGCUNGAAAGCGUGGGUAGCGAACAGGAUUAGAUACCCUGGUAGUCCACGCCGUAAACGAUGAGUGCUAGGUGUUAGGCCCUUUCCGGGGCUUAGUGCCGGAGCUAACGCAAUAAGCACUCCGCCUGGGGAGUACGACCGCAAGGUUGAAACUCAAAGGAAUUGACGGGGGCCCGCACAAGCGGUGGAGCAUGUGGUUUAAUUCGAAGCAACGCGAAGAACCUUACCAGGUCUUGACAUCCCGAUGCUAUUCUUAGAGAUAGGAAGUUACUUCGGUACAUCGGAGACAGGUGGUGCAUGGUUGUCGUCAGCUCGUGUCGUGAGAUGUUGGGUUAAGUCCCGCAACGAGCGCAACCCUUAUUGUUAGUUGCCAUCAUUAAGUUGGGCACUCUAGCGAGACUGCCGGUAAUAAACCGGAGGAAGGUGGGGAUGACGUCAAAUCAUCAUGCCCCUUAUGACCUGGGCUACACACGUGCUACAAUGGUCGGUACAACGAGUUGCGAGCCGGUGACGGCAAGCUAAUCUCUGAAAGCCGAUCUCAGUUCGGAUUGGAGGCUGCAACUCGCCUCCAUGAAGUCGGAAUCGCUAGUAAUCGCGGAUCAGCACGCCGCGGUGAAUACGUUCCCGGGCCUUGUNCAC